CCGGUCCGAGUGGAGUGAGCAAGCUGAGUGGUUUAUGGUCGGGUCUCAGAAACCAGUAGCGCUUGCAGCAUGACUGACCAACUGACCGGAGAGCAGAUUGCAGAAUUCAAAGAGGCGUUUUCACUAUUUGACAAGGAUAGUGAUGGAACUAUAACAACAAAGAAAUCGGGAAUGCUAAUGAGGUCUCUUGGGCAGAAUCCCACAGAAGCAGAGUUACAGGUCAUGAUUAAUGAAGUAGAUGCUGAUGGUAACAUAACAAUUGACUUCUCUGAACUUCUGACAACGAUGGCAAGAAAAAUGAGAGAUACAGACAGUGAAGAAGAAAUUAGAGAAGCAUUCCGUGUGUUUGGUAAGGAUGGCAAUGGCUAUAUUUGUGCAGCAGAGCCUCACCGUGUGAUGACAAACCUUGGGGGGAAGUUAGUAGAUGAAGAGGUUGAUGAAAUGGUCAAGGAAGCAGAUAUUGAUUUGAUGGUCCAGUAAACUAUGCAGAGUUUGUACAAAUGAUGACAGCAAAGUGA
This is an RNA transcript of Carlito syrichta (Philippine tarsier), 518 nucleotides long. It is a transcript of the gene named calmodulin-like, with no coding region annotated. The transcript is spliced from 2 exons. The record is from RefSeq and is a predicted model, not a curated record. NCBI's taxonomy places the organism in Eukaryota, Metazoa, Chordata, Mammalia, Primates, Tarsiidae.